GACGAACGCUGGCGGCGUGCUUAACACAUGCAAGUCGAACGCUGAAGCUCAGCUUUUGUUGGGUGGAUGAGUGGCGAACGGGUGAGUAACACGUGAGUAACCUGCCUCCUUCUUUGGGAUAACGCCCGGAAACGGGUGCUAGUACUGGAUAUUCACUGGUCUUCGCAUGGGGGUUGGUGGAAAGGGUUUUUCUGGUGGGGGAUGGGCUCGCGGCCUAUCAGCUUGUUGGUGGGGUGAUGGCCUACCAAGGCUUUGACGGGUAGCCGGCCUGAGAGGGUGACCGGUCACAUUGGGACUGAGAUACGGCCCAGACUCCUACGGGAGGCAGCAGUGGGGAAUAUUGCACAAUGGGCGCAAGCCUGAUGCAGCGACGCCGCGUGAGGGAUGGAGGCCUUCGGGUUGUGAACCUCUUUCGCUCAUGGUCAAGCCGCAACAAUGGUUGUGGUGAGGGUAGUGGGGAAAGAAGCGCCGGCUAACUACGU
This 482-nucleotide ribosomal RNA is filed under the name uncultured bacterium. RNAcentral's name for it is "partial 16S ribosomal RNA". It matches the Rfam family "Bacterial small subunit ribosomal RNA", at positions 28 to 506 of the family's 1533-position model. The record is from RNAcentral.